This 319-nucleotide ribosomal RNA is filed under the name uncultured Pseudomonadota bacterium. RNAcentral describes it as "bacterial SSU rRNA". It matches the Rfam family "Bacterial small subunit ribosomal RNA", at positions 30 to 351 of the family's 1533-position model. The record is from RNAcentral. Lineage: Bacteria; Pseudomonadati; Pseudomonadota.
AUUGAACGCUGGCGGCAUGCCUUACACAUGCAAGUCGAACGGUAACGCGGGGCAACCUGGCGACGAGUGGCGAACGGGUGAGUAAUAUAUCGGAACGUGCCCAGUAGUGGGGGAUAGCCCGGCGAAAGCCGGAUUAAUACCGCAUACGACCUACGGGUGAAAGCGGGGGAUCGCAAGACCUCGCGCCAUUGGAGCGGCCGAUAUCAGAUUAGGUAGUUGGUGGGGUAAAGGCCUACCAAGCCAACGAUCUGUAGCUGGUCUGAGAGGACGACCAGCCACACUGGGACUGAGACACGGCCCAGACUCCUACGGGAGGCAG